UGGGGAAUAUUGCACAAUGGGCGCAAGCCUGAUGCAGCCAUGCCGCGUGUGUGAAGAAGGCCUUCGGGUUGUAAAGCACUUUCAGCGGGGAGGAAGGCGAUAAGGUUAAUAACCUUGUCGAUUGACGUUACCCGCAGAAGAAGCACCGGCUAACUCCGUGCCAGCAGCCGCGGUAAUACGGAGGGUGCAAGCGUUAAUCGGAAUUACUGGGCGUAAAGCGCACGCAGGCGGUCUGUCAAGUCGGAUGUGAAAUCCCCGGGCUUAACCUGGGAACUGCGUUCGAAACUGGCAGGCUAGAGUCUUGUAGAGGGGGGUAGAAUUCCAGGUGUAGCGGUGAAAUGCGUAGAGAUCUGGAGGAAUACCGGUGGCGAAAGCGGCCCCCUGGACAAAGACUGACGCUCAGGUGCGAAAGCGUGGGGAGCAAACAGG
Molecule: ribosomal RNA, 429 nt
Filed under: Chloroflexota bacterium
Lineage: Bacteria; Bacillati; Chloroflexota
Description: Chloroflexi bacterium partial 16S ribosomal RNA
Rfam family: Bacterial small subunit ribosomal RNA
Source: RNAcentral